GUUUAUGAGGUUGAGUAGUGCAUAUGUUUAGUCAUAGAAAUGGCAAGAGAUCCUUUCCAUAGGUGAGAAAUGUUAAGAAAACUAGAGCCAUGUGGUAGGUCUUAAAGUAGAAAAAACAGUAUAGUUGAAUGUCAAAGAGGAAAAGGUGACAAAUUCUGCCUUUUUAGGAGGAAGAGAGGACAAAUCAGAGAGGAUAAACAGAGAAGUGAAAAAAAGAAGCAUUUAUUGAUACAAAAUUAGGUGUUUCUCUUUUAAAUGUCCUUGUUCUUGCUACAUAUUAAACUCCCCUGCAUGUGUUAGUUUGCAUGAGUAUUAAAAUCCGCUUUUCUGUAUAUCUGACUUGAGAACACAUUGUUGGUUUUGGUGUCUUGUCUAGUAUCUCUAAUCUGAUUUGAAACAUAGAACCAACAUUUUUAUUAUUAUUCUUUACAACUGCAAUGUUAAGAUUCAUACAAAUUUUAUUGAAUGCACUUUAGGUAGCAGAUAUUUUGCAUGCUCUGGGGGGUUUUAAUUCUUAUUCUGGGAGUUUGGACUCAGGCCCUUGGGCUCUGGUCCAAUAGUAGAAAUGUAAAACUUGUCUAUUGUUUGUAAUAAUGUAGCACAGGCUGAGAACAUUCUCCCAACAGCUAAUAGCAUAAGUGUUUUUUACCUUUUCUAGCUAUAAGGAAAGGCAAUUGAAGAGGACCUGGGAUGCAGGUGACUUCUGGGAGAGCAGCCUCUCCGUGUCGAUUUUUAAAACUAUCACUUCACCCCAGGUCUUGUACAUGAGACCUAGUAAAUUGUGACCAUCUGAAAUUUUAGAAAGCAGAGGCUGGUGGCAUAUAAGGGGUCUGGAGGUUCAUUCAAGGAAGCCAGGAAGCAGGCAAAUUUUUAAUUGGUAAAAUUUUAGAAAAACAAGCCUAGAAUUCAGGCUUCUCAUUUGCCUGUCAGCUAGCC
This 936-nucleotide long non-coding RNA is filed under the name Marmota monax (woodchuck). The record is from RNAcentral. Lineage: Eukaryota; Metazoa; Chordata; Mammalia; Rodentia; Sciuridae.